Molecule: ribosomal RNA, 281 nt
Filed under: uncultured bacterium
Lineage: Bacteria
Description: partial 16S ribosomal RNA
Rfam family: Bacterial small subunit ribosomal RNA
Source: RNAcentral
UUUUCCUACGGGACGCAGCAGUAGGGAAUCUUCCACAAUGGACGAAAGUCUGAUGGAGCAACGCCGCGUGAGUGAAGAAGGGUUUCGGCUCGUAAAGCUCUGUUGGUAGUGAAGAAAGAUAGAGGUAGUAACUGGCCUUUAUUUGACGGUAAUUACUUAGAAAGUCACGGCUAACUACGUGCCAGCAGCCGCGGUAAUACGGAGGUGGGAAGCGUUGUCCGGAUUUAUUGGGGUUAAAGGGGGCGUAGGCGGUCCGUUAAGUCAGCGGUAAAAUUGCGGGG